RNAcentral lists this ribosomal RNA (301 nucleotides) under uncultured bacterium. Its description in RNAcentral is "partial 16S ribosomal RNA". It matches the Rfam family "Bacterial small subunit ribosomal RNA", at positions 509 to 807 of the family's 1533-position model. The record is from RNAcentral.
CAGUCGCCGCGGUAAUGCGUAGGUGGCAAGCGUUGUCCGGAAUUAUUGGGCGUAAAGGGCUCGCAGGCGGUUUCUUAAGUCUGAUGUGAAAGCCCCCGGCUCAACCGGGGAGGGUCAUUGGAAACUGGGAAACUUGAGUGCAGAAGAGGAGAGUGGAAUUCCACGUGUAGAGGUGAAAUUCGUAGAUAUUCGGAAGAACACCAGUGGCGAAGGCGACACACUGGCCCAUUACUGACGCUGAGGCUCGAAAGCGUGGGGAGCAAACAGGAUUAGAGACCCCUGUAGUCCCUGUCUCUUAUAC